AUCAUUGUAGUAGAAUAUAAUUUUUCCCAAUGAAGGAUUAUAUUCCAAAUUGGCAACUAAUAUACAAUAUGCUAGCUUGGAUUCGUAAAAGCAAGGUACGUAAGAAUUGCUCCGGUGUUAAAUCCGUUGAAGUUGGACCCAGCAGCCGCCGUAUAUGCUCCCAUGCAGGGGAACACCAGCCAAUCGUUGACCUGCAGUUCCGGUAAUGGGUGACCUUUUAAAACCGUGUCAAGCGCAUCACACGUGGGACCAAAAACCGUCGAGCUAUACGUCCUCGAUCCUUUGCACGUGGGGUUUACACGAUUUGAAGUGCACGCGAGAGGCGCGCACUUGAUAGUUGCAUGAUCGUAUAAGAUACAGUUCAUGGAACCGUAAAUACCGUCGUUAAUCCAAUACUCUCUAUGUUCUCCCCUAACACGCUUCCCGAUUAUGUUUGUGGCUAACGUGAAAGCCGAUUCUGCAAAGAACCGGCCCGGCUCCGAAAUAAUUCUCAAGCCCUGUUCGUUUGGGAAAUAAGCUUGAAGCGAUUUGAUUGCUGUAGCCGCUUCGUCAAAUUGUGAACCGGCCGUGACCCCGCCGCCAAUGUUCAGCACAUUCAUUUUCGGCAUGCCGAGUCUAGCUGCAGCUUC
This 629-nucleotide unclassified non-coding RNA is filed under the name Hevea brasiliensis (rubber tree). Lineage: Eukaryota; Viridiplantae; Streptophyta; Magnoliopsida; Malpighiales; Euphorbiaceae. The record is from RNAcentral.